AGGAAUGUAUAGCAAUAGCUAGUUGCAUCAUUGUAAAGAUGAUGCAAUAUUGACUAUGUUGAAUAAAAUUCUAGGUAGAAUUAUGAUAAUGACAUUGUCUGCCUAUGUGUCUUGACCAAAUUACGUGCCAGCAGUCGCGGUAAUACGUAGAAGACUAGUGUUAUUCAUGUUUAAUCGGUUUAAAGGGUACCUAGACGGCAGAUCAAGCUUUCCGAGCAGAAAAAAAAAAAGGACUAAUUUGCUAGAGUUACUUACGAGGGGGUUUUAAAGUACUGCUGGUGUAGAGAUGAAAUUCUUUAAUACCUAUUUUCGAAAGAAUUAUAAUGGCACAGGUAUAGGCGAAGGCAUCCCCUUAUGUGAUAACUGACGUUGAGGGACGAAGGCUUUAUACAACGAACGGGAUUAGAUACCCCAUUAGUGGAAGCAGUAAAUGAUGAAUGUCAUAGAUUAGCUAGAUAGGUUCAUUCUAUAAAUGAAAGUGUAAGCAUUCCACCUCAUGAGUAAUAUGGCAACAUUGGAAUUGAAAUCAUUAGACCGUAUCUGAAACCAGUAGUGAAGUAUGUUGUUUAAUUUGAUGAUCCGCAAAAAACCUUACCACAAUUUGAAUAUUUAUAUUUUUUAUUGUUUUGUCCUUAAUUUUCUUCUCUUUAUAACAUAAAAUUAAUAAAGAGGCAAUAAGAUAUAUUUACAAGCGUUGCACGGCUGUCUUCAGUUAAUGUCGCGAGAUUUUGGUUAGAUCCAUAAAAUUAACGUAAACCCUUACUUUAUUUUUAGAUAGAGUUGUUCCCCACUAUAUUGGAUAUGAU
RNAcentral lists this ribosomal RNA (806 nucleotides) under Hypotrachyna osseoalba. RNAcentral describes it as "SSU rRNA". It matches the Rfam family "Bacterial small subunit ribosomal RNA", at positions 357 to 1146 of the family's 1533-position model. Lineage: Eukaryota; Fungi; Ascomycota; Lecanoromycetes; Lecanorales; Parmeliaceae. The record is from RNAcentral.